This 443-nucleotide ribosomal RNA is filed under the name uncultured bacterium. RNAcentral describes it as "partial 16S ribosomal RNA". It matches the Rfam family "Bacterial small subunit ribosomal RNA", at positions 338 to 795 of the family's 1533-position model. The record is from RNAcentral.
CCUACGGGUGGCAGCAGUGGGGAAUAUUGGGCAAUGGGCGCAAGCCUGACCCAGCAACGCCGCGUGAAGGAAGAAGGCUUUCGGUUUGUAAACUUCUUUUCUCAGGGACGAAGAAAGUGACGGUACCUGAAGAAUAAGCCACUGCCAACUACGUGCCAGCAGCCGCGGUAAUACGUAGGCGGCAAGCGUCAUCCGGUUGUAUUUGGAGUAAAGGGCGUGUAGGCGGCAGCACAAGUCAGAUGUGAAACCUCAGGGCUCAACCCAGGGCCUGCAUUUGAAACUGUGCUUCUUGAGUGCAGGAGAGGCAAUCGGAAUUCCGAGUGUAGCGGUGAAAUGCGUAGAUAUACGGAGGAACACCAGUGGCGAAGGCGGAUUGCUGGACAGUAACUGACGCUGAGGCGCGAAAGCGUGGGGAGCAAACAGGAUUAGAUACCCUAGUAGUC